AGUGAACGCUGGCGGUAGGCCUAACACAUGCAAGUCGAACGGCAGCACAGUAAGAGCCUGCUCUUACGGGUGGCGAGUGGCGGACGGGUGAGGAAUACAUCGGAAUCUACUUUUUCGUGGGGGAUAACGUAGGGAAACUUACGCUAAUACCGCAUACGACCUACGGGUGAAAGCAGGGGAUCUUCGGACCUUGCGCGAUUGAAUGAGCCGAUGUCGGAUUAGCUAGUUGGCGGGGUAAAGGCCCACCAAGGCGACGAUCCGUAGCUGGUCUGAGAGGAUGAUCAGCCACACUGGAACUGAGACACGGUCCAGACUCCUACGGGAGGCAGCAGUGGGGAAUAUUGGACAAUGGGCGCAAGCCUGAUCCGGCCAUACCGCGUGGGUGAAGAAGGCCUUCGGGUUGUAAAGCCCUUUUGUUGGGAAAGAAAGGCAGCAGGUUAAUACCCCGCUGUUCUGACGGUACCCAAAGAAUAAGCACCGGCUAACUUCGUG
RNAcentral lists this ribosomal RNA (492 nucleotides) under uncultured bacterium. RNAcentral describes it as "partial 16S ribosomal RNA". It matches the Rfam family "Bacterial small subunit ribosomal RNA", at positions 29 to 507 of the family's 1533-position model. The record is from RNAcentral.